Molecule: ribosomal RNA, 846 nt
Filed under: uncultured bacterium
Lineage: Bacteria
Description: bacterial SSU rRNA
Rfam family: Bacterial small subunit ribosomal RNA
Source: RNAcentral
UUGAACGCUGGCGGUAUGCUUUACACAUGCAAGUCGAACGGAUUAAGAAGCUUGCUUCUUAGUUAGUGGCGAACGGGUGAGUAAUAUAUCGGAACAUAUCCGGAAGUGGGGGAUAACGUAGCGAAAGUUACGCUAAUACCGCAUAUGCCCUGAGGGGGAAAGGGGGGGAUCGCAAGACCUCUCGCUUUCGGAGUGGCCGAUAUCGGAUUAGCUAGUAGGUGAGGUAAAGGCUCACCUAGGCGACGAUCCGUAGCUGGUCUGAGAGGACGACCAGCCACACUGGAACUGAGACACGGUCCAGACUCCUACGGGAGGCAGCAGUGGGGAAUUUUGGACAAUGGGCGAAAGCCUGAUCCAGCCAUACCGCGUGAGUGAAGAAGGCCUUCGGGUUGUAAAGCUCUUUCAGCCGGAAAGAAAUUGCUUCUAUUAAUACUAGGAGUAGAUGACGGUACCGGAAGAAGAAGCACCGGCUAACUACGUGCCAGCAGCCGCGGUAAUACGUAGGGUGCGAGCGUUAAUCGGAAUUACUGGGCGUAAAGCGUGCGCAGGCGGUUUUUUAAGCCAGAUGUGAAAUCCCCGGGCUUAACCUGGGAACUGCAUUUGGAACUGGAAGACUAGAGUAUAGCAGAGGGAGGUAGAAUUCCACGUGUAGCAGUGAAAUGCGUAGAUAUGUGGAGGAAUACCGAUGGCGAAGGCAGCCUCCUGGGUUAAUACUGACGCUCAUGCACGAAAGCGUGGGGAGCAAACAGGAUUAGAUACCCUGGUAGUCCACGCCCUAAACGAUGUCAACUAGGUGUUGGGGGAGGAGACUUCCUUAGUACCGUAGCUAACGCGUGAAGUGACCGC